Molecule: ribosomal RNA, 253 nt
Filed under: uncultured bacterium
Lineage: Bacteria
Description: partial 16S ribosomal RNA
Rfam family: Bacterial small subunit ribosomal RNA
Source: RNAcentral
UACGGAGGGUGCAAGCGUUAUCCGGAUUCACUGGGUUUAAAGGGUGCGUAGGCGGGUUGGUAAGUCAGUGGUGAAAUCUCCGAGCUUAACUUGGAAACUGCCAUUGAUACUAUCAGUCUUGAAUAUUGUGGAGGUCAGUGGAAUAUGUCAUGUAGCGGUGAAAUGCGUAGAUAUGAGAUAGAACACCAAUGGCGAAGGCAGCUGGCUGGGCAUAUAUUGACACUGAGGCACGAAAGCGUGGGGAGCAAACAGG